This is a long non-coding RNA of Lycium barbarum (goji berry), 5767 nucleotides long. RefSeq lists it as uncharacterized. The record is from RefSeq and is a predicted model, not a curated record. The transcript is spliced from 5 exons. Lineage: Eukaryota; Viridiplantae; Streptophyta; Magnoliopsida; Solanales; Solanaceae.
UUUCCCUCUCUCUCUUUGCUUGGCUUUUUCUGCAUUUUUCUUAAUGGAAUUUGUUAGGUUGUGAUUUCAAAUACUCAAAUCUGAUUGGAUAGUCACACAGUCCCACAUCGAUUUUAAGCAUGAAACCUUAGAAUUUGGGGUUCUAUAUAAAGAACCCCCAAUUCCACAUUAUACACACACAGAGAUAUAUGAAAAUACUUGCAUAUUUUCAAGAAGAACCCAUUGUAGGUUUUACACUGAUCUUGUGCGGGUACACCUAGGGUUUUGAUUUGCUCAGAACUCUUUUUAGUCUAAAUUUGAUCUGUGUUUCUGAAAUCCUUUUGAUUUCUUUGUGUUUGGCGUAGCUGUGAGGUGUGGAGGAAGCUCAACUCUAUUCUCGACCCAGGCUACCAUCACAAAAGAGGGCCAUUUGGGCCGAGUACAUCAACCAUAAGGUGUUGGGCCUAAGGUCCAAUAGCUCCUCCUUUCUUCUAUCAAGUCCGAACCAGCUUGAAGGCCCAACUAUGGAUGAAAAUGGCAACUGGUGGGCUCGUUAACCGAUGUAGAAAACUAUUCCAUUUGGAGACGUACGAUGAGAAUUGCUAUCUGAGGUCGAAACAAGCUAGGGUUCAUCGACGGGACUUGCAAAAAGGAGAGUUAUGGUUCAAAUCUGACCGAUUUGUGGGAAAGAUGCAAUGCAAUUGUACUUUCAUGGAUAAUCGAACUAUGUUUAGAAGGAAUUGUUUGGAGGAACCAUAUACUCAAGUGAUGCAACAGAAGUUUGGAGUGAUCUCAAAGAGAGAUUUGAUAAAGUAGAUGUAUCAAGAACAUAUCAAUUGCACAAGGAGAUUGCAACAAUUCAUCAAGGUAUUAUCACUACACUUAUGUUUAAUAAUAAACAUGAUCUUUGGGUUGUAGAUUUUGGUGCUACAAAUCAUAUGACAUCCAAAUCUAGCAUACUUUAUGAUAUGAUCCUAGAUGGCACAAAGAUGCUUGGAAGGAUGUAGGACGUUUGGAUAAUAACUUGGGAAGAGAUUGUGAAAGGUUCCACACUAAGUGGCUAAAAGCGCAAAGGGCUAAAAGUGCAAAUUAUGGCUAUAUGAUGCAAAUCAUGGCCAAGAAUCAAAAUUCAAGGCUAGGGAUGUAAUUUGGGCUACAAUUGCAUGACAAUUGGUGUUUGGAAGAUGAAGAUUCCAUAUGAGGGCUAUUUCCGAAAUUCCCUAAAACAGACUACCAACCAAACAAGGCCCUUGCCUCAUUAAUGGCAUUUUUGUAAUAACCUAGUCUUCUUUAGUCUAGGAGUAUAAAUACUAAGACUUAAGACAUUUCAUUUACUUAGAUUGGAUGAAUUAUGUAUUGAAUACUCUAAGGAGUGAUAGUUUGUUUGGCUUAAUAGCCUUUAGGUUUAGACUUAGUUAAUGGUGGAUUCCAUUGUUGGUUUUGGACCGAUUUCCAUUGAUUUUAUGAAGGGUUGUUCAUUUGUGGAUUCAAUUGAAUUUCCCUUGCUUUGAUUUCAAAUAGUAUAGGUUCUUUGAAUUGAAUAAAAUUGAGAGGGUCUAGGUUUCAUAUACUUAGGUUUGCUCACAAGUUCAUUAUUCAUUGGGUCUUGCUUUUAUCCUCUAUUUCUCAUCCCCUUUUCUUCAAUUCUCAUCCAAAUUUCUUGUUAUCCUUUAAUUUUGCGUUUAGUGUUGAAUUGGUGUUUUUCCCCAAUUCAAAUUUUACUAUUUGGUAUCCGAGCUUAAGCUAGAGUGUUGUUUCUACAAUCCUCAAUCCUAGGUUCUUUAUAUUUGAAAAAAAAAUCAAAAUUUCCUAAAAAAAAAAUCCAAAAAUUUGUUGUUUUUUUUGGUGUGUUUGAGUUCCUUGAUAUUAGAAACUCCUAGGUUUCAAAUUUCGUGACAUUUGGAGGUGUUUUGAAGAUUCUACCAUUGUUGAAGCUUGAAAGUUUGAAACUUAAAAGUGGGUUUUGGUGAUUGAAGGUGAAAUUGGCUUCAAUUGGUGUUGGGCUUUGUUCUCCUAGUUGAGGGGAGCUUAGAUCCGAAUUUUGGUGCAAAAACAAGUUGAUUUGAAGGUGAAUUGAAAUUUGGGUGUUUUUCAAGUUCAUAAGCAUCUUCAUAUGUUCAUAGUGAAGAAGAAGACCCAAAAGAGUGUUUGAUUCAAAAUUUCUUCAAGUCAAGAGGUCAAAAGGUGUUUGUGGACCCAAGUAAGAAUCCAAAAAAAAUCAGAAAUUUUAAGUCCAGUUUUCUGAUUUUUCAAAAAAAAAAAACUACCACGUCAGCGCUGACGUCAGCAGCCUGACGCACUUCUGCAAGUGCAUGGCCCACAGAUUCAGAGACCAAAUUUUUCCAAAAGUCUCAAAUUUUUUCUAAGUGUUGGCAGAUUUUGUCCCAAAUUUAGAGGGGCAUAUCUUUGUGUGUAUAAGGAGUUACGAGACCGAUAACCUAUCUAAAUUGAAGUUCAUCGAGUCUAAUUUCCAAAUCAACCAACCAUUCAUCAAUUGGAACUAUGUAGAAAGAAUUAUUUGGAUUUUAAAAACACGCUGCAAGAAGCUCCGAAUUUUCUAAGUGUUGGCCAAAAACUUCCCAAAUUUGUCUAAGUGUUUGGCCAAGGUUUGUUCACUUCUUCUUCUCAUUUAUUUGAUUCUCCUAGCUAAUUAACAAUUAGUAAUUGAUCCUUACUUAGUUGUUAACUAGUUCUUGAGUCCGAAUUUCAUUUUGUGCCAGUUUCUUCCAAGCUUUUCUCUUUUAUUUCAUUGAAACUUUAUUGGAUCUUUUCCAUUCGCUUUGAGUUGUCCUUCUUUUAUCUAAACAAGAAUCUAUUCUUCCACAAAGAUUAGCAACCUUGUAAAUUAAUUUGGGAUUUGCGAUUCAUUGUCAACUUUGGAAGAAACUGUAGGUUGAGUGGUAAGCUUGAGUGCAAGUACGAGUGACGUGAGGAACAUUACUACUAAACUUGUUUGCUCAUUUUGUGGGUAGAAAAAGGGAAGUCAUAAGGAAAAAAUAUUUGAUGGAAGAGAUAGUGGUAUUCGUGAGAGAAGGGAAAAUACAUUUCCUACUUCAAGAAAUACAAUGAAUCAUGCUUCUCAUCCUAAUACGAAGGUACCAUGUUCUCAAUAUAGUUAUGAUGUUGAAGGUAGGAGGAGAGAAGUAUUGAUAGGUGAUAGAAGUAGAAGGAAUGCAAGGUCCCAAGUGAGAAAUGACCCAAAGAGGCGAAUUCUUGAGACAAAGGUGAACUUGCUUGGUAGUGCAGAGUAUGUCCUUGUGUUUGAUGAUGGUAGCAAUGGCAACUACCUUGCACCUCAAGUAGUUGAGACAUUGGGUAUAGAAUGUGUGAUGAAACGAGACCCUUACGAUGAUCAAAGAGGGUACUUGGUUGAUAGGAGCGCAAGGGUGUUCUUUACCCAUGGCAAAUACCAAGACGAGGUUUGGUGUGAUGUACUUCCACUAGAAAAUUGUCACUUAUGUUGGGGGAAUGCUUGGUUCCUAGAACAUAAGGUUUCAUAUGGGCAAGAAUGGUACAAGUAUGUAGUGGACAAACAACGAAGACCUCUCUUUCCACCUAUAGUUCCUAAAGAUGAAGUAAUUGCAAGUAAACCCUGUCCUAUGGAGAGUGGGCCCGAAAUCCCACAAUGGGAGAAAAAGAAUUUAGAAGAGAUUCACCUAAUGAUGGAACGCUUAUGCAAGUCACAACAAAUGAAAGCGAAGAAGUCUAAGCCUUGUGAAGCGAAAGAGAAGAGUAAAGUGGAGGGUUCCCUUAAUCGUUCUAAAGAUGUACUUGACACUUGUCCCAACUCGCAUGAAAUUGAGAGGGAAAAGAUUGAGAGGUGUAAGGGAGCAAAAAGUGACAACUCUAGAGUGGAAAAAUGAGAGGUUGUGAGGAGUGAUGUGAGGGUCGUCACAACCCCAUUCUAACCUUUGUACCUUUUCUUUCUUAUCUAGUUGUAUGGAUAAUGGUGCAAGUAUUCUUGGAAAUCAAGCCAAAUGAUGAGCCUCAAAUUGUGAAAAUUCAUGAGGUACUUAAAGGCUUCCCCAAGAGCAAAUUGACUCCAAAGUCAAAAAUCAAGGUAAAGAAGAUGUUAUGUGUGCACUUCAAGAUAAAAUAGCUAAACUUAACACUCUAAAUGAUGUGAAUGAUCAUGUUGUUGAAUUGAGUGUGAGUGAAAGCUUGUAUUUAUGUGAGCUUAAUGAGACUGGUGUUGAGGUUAAUGACUCUUCAAUGAUUGUUGACAAUGUAGUUGGUUUGGGUGUAUCAACACUAGUUGAUCUUAUUGAUGACCGUAUUGAUUCUUCUUAUGAGAUCAAUUUGUGUCCACCUAGUGUUAACACUUGUGACGAAAAUUAUAGUGCAUUGUCUUGUGUUAUGGUAGUUCACACACUAGUUGAUCCUAGAAAUGACCGAGUUAACUCUUCUUACAAGGUCAAUUUAAGUCCAACUAGUGUGAAUAAUUGUUUAGUCCAACUUGCUUGUGAUAAUAGUCCACUAAUUGAGGGAUUGUGUGGUGUGCUUAAUGGACCUCAAUUUAGUGAUGAUAUUGAUGUAAUUGGUCAUAUGAAUAGUCAUGUUAAUGAAGACGCUUUGGUAGGUGACAUUUGUCUUUUUGAGAAUAAGAUUGCAAACUUUGACUCUUCAUUGUCCAUUGAAUCUUUUUCCCUUAAAGAUAAUUUCUUAUUUGAAGUUGACAUGACUUGUGGAAAUGAUGUACCUAGUGGGAUGUUUGGUAAUGUUGCGAGUGUAGUUUCUUAGGAGACUACAAGGUAUUUAGUAACCCACUAUGGGAUGAUGAUAUGCUUGGUCUUGAUGACAAGCAUGGGGUGGUUGAAGCUCUUGACACUAUCCCCGAUGACGAAGAGUCCUUCUUGAGGGUUUGUGACCCACUUGAUGGACCAACGUCGAAUUUGGAAAAGGCUUUCGAAAGUGAUGAGUGCGCUUUAAAGAAGGGGAGCCAUUUGAAGGGAAAACAGAACACUUCUUGGAAGGAUUAUGCUAAUCUUCUAUCCCAAGGGGUGAGGAGAUGCUACUUUUAUCUUGACAUAGGUUUGAAAAGCCUAAAGGUAAAAAUCCUUCUUUUUAUGAACUUGAUUAUGUGAUUAACUUGUUUGUGGAGUUUCAUCAAAGGAGGAAACUUGAAGAGGAUACCCAUUGGAGAAGACCUCAUUGGACUACGCUUUGGUGUGAAGUCACAUCUUGUACUUCCUUCACGGACAGUAUGUAUUCGUGGCUCAUACUUAUUCUUGUGCUUUCUUAAAGCCAUUGAGGUUCGAAUUCGAAGGCGAAUCCUUUUGAAGAGGGGAGGAUGAGAUGAUCCUAUAUGGCACAAAUAUGCUUGGAAGGAUGUGGGACGUUUAGAUGAUAGCUUGUGAAGAGAUUGUGGAGGCUUCUACACUAAGUGGCUAAAAGCGCAAAGGGCUAAAGUGCAAAUUGUGGCUAUAGGAUGCAAAUCAUGGCCAAGAAUCCAAUUCAAGGCUAGGGAUGUAAUUUGGGCUACAAUUGCAAGAAAAUUGGUGUUUGGAAGAUAAAGAUUCCAUAUGAGGGCUAUUUCCGAAAUUCCCCAAAGAAGACUACCAACCAAACAAGGCCCUUGCCUCAUUAAUGACAUUUUUGUAAUAACUUAGUCUUCUGUAGUCUAUGAGUAUAAAUACUAAGACUUAGACAUUUCAUCUACUUAGAUUAGAUGAAUUAUAUAUUGAAUACUCUAAGGAGUGAUAGUUUGUUUGGCUUAAUAGCAUUUAGGUUUAGACUUACUUAAUGAUGGAUUCCAUUGUUGGUUUUGAACUGAUUUCCAUUGAUUUUA